This 84-nucleotide transfer RNA is filed under the name Candidatus Epulonipiscium sp. RNAcentral describes it as "tRNA-Tyr". It matches the Rfam family "tRNA". Rfam says of the family: Transfer RNA (tRNA) molecules are approximately 80 nucleotides in length. Their secondary structure includes four short double-helical elements and three loops (D, anti-codon, and T loops). The record is from RNAcentral. Lineage: Bacteria; Bacillati; Bacillota; Clostridia; Lachnospirales; Lachnospiraceae.
GGGAAUAUAAUCCGAUAAGGAGUCGGGGCGCACUGUAAAUGCGUUACUUAAAUGUUCUAGUGGGUUCGAUACCCUCUAUUCCCA